Molecule: ribosomal RNA, 492 nt
Filed under: uncultured bacterium
Lineage: Bacteria
Description: partial 16S ribosomal RNA
Rfam family: Bacterial small subunit ribosomal RNA
Source: RNAcentral
AGUGAACGCUGGCGGUAGGCCUAACACAUGCAAGUCGAACGGCAGCACAGUAAGAGCUUGCUCUUACGGGUGGCGAGUGGCGGACGGGUGAGGAAUACAUCGGAAUCUACUUUUUCGUGGGGGAUAACGUAGGGAAACUUACGCUAAUACCGCAUACGACCUACGGGUGAAAGCAUGGGAUCUUCGGACCUUGCGCGAUUGAAUGAGCCGAUGUCGGAUUAGCUAGUUGGCGGGGUAAAGGCCCACCAAGCCGACGAUCCGUAGCUGGUCUGAGAGGAUGAUCAGCCACACUGGAACUGAGACACGGUCCAGACUCCUACGGGAGGCAGCAGUGGGGAAUAUUGGACAAUGGGCGCAAGCCUGAUCCAGCCAUGCCGCGUGGGUGAAGAAGGUCUUCGGGUUGUAAAGCCCUUUUGUUGGGAAAGAAAAGCAGCAGGUUAAUACCCCGCUGUUCUGACGGUACCAAAAGAAUAAGCACCGGCUAACUUCGUG